RNAcentral lists this ribosomal RNA (496 nucleotides) under uncultured bacterium. RNAcentral describes it as "partial 16S ribosomal RNA". It matches the Rfam family "Bacterial small subunit ribosomal RNA", at positions 30 to 523 of the family's 1533-position model. The record is from RNAcentral.
AUUGAACGCUGGCGGAAUGCUUUACACAUGCAAGUCGAACGGUAGAGGGGGCAACCCCUCGAGAGUGGCGAACGGGUGAGUAAUAUAUCGGAACGUGCCCAGUCGUGGGGGAUAACGUAGCGAAAGUUACGCUAAUACCGCAUACGAUCUAAGGGUGAAAGCGGGGGAUCGCAAGACCUCGCGCGAUUGGAGCGGCCGAUAUCAGAUUAGGUAGUUGGUGGGGUAAAGGCUCACCAAGCCAACGAUCUGUAGCUGGUCUGAGAGGACGACCAGCCACACUGGAACUGAGACACGGUCCAGACUCCUACAGGAGGCAGCGGUGGGGAAUUUUGGACAAGGGACGCAAGUCUGAUCCAGCCAUUCCGCGUGCAGGAUGAAGGCCCUCGGGUUGUAAACUGCUUUUGUACGGAACGAAAAGGUCUCUCUUAAUACGGGGGACUCAUGACGGUACCGUAAGAAUAAGCACCGGCUAACUACGUGCCAGCAGCCGCCGUAA